GAAUAAAUUCGUUUGUAUUUUUAACCGAUUUAAAAGUGAAACAAAGGCAGACUCCUCCCUCAGUCCCGGGAAUUGCUCCUGUAGAGGCGCAAUAUUUCUCAGAUAAUGGGAGUCUAUGGGAAAUUUCUGACUUUUAAUAAUUAAUAUAAAAAAAACUGUAAGUCUGAUCACUCUGAAAAGAUAUAGCACACUUCUGCCCCCCGUGCCGCAGGUGUCUGCCAAGUUUGGGGCUUGUGGCUUUAAAGCUCUAGGAGGAGAUAGGUUUGGAAAAUUAAGUCUCAGAAAAAGAAUAAGAAAAAGAAAAAUAAGAAGUUUAAAUAGCAUAACAGUAUGUUGGCUUGUGCCAAGCCAACAUAAUAAGAAGUUUAAAUAGCAUAACAGUAUGUUGGCUUGUGCCAAGCCAACAUAACUAGAAUGUAAAGUUAGUGAACUAACUUUGAUGUUGGCUUGGCCUUGGGCCAAAAGAGCCACUGUACUUGUGUGUCCAACCUUCUUGAGCUGCCUUGGUGGAAAAAAAACAACUUCCAACUGUAUUUUUCUAUGGACCCUUGCUGUUUUCUGUUCCAAUAAAAAGCAUUGGCUAUGACAACAGUUUCAACAGCUUUGGCUAGCUGUAUGCAAAAUAAGUCAUGCCUUUUCCCCCUGUUUGCUAUUUCCCAGUCCUCUAACUGAAGUGUUGUAUGCAACAACACAGAAGGUAAAAGAAACAAUGUGGUUUAAGUCAAGGUGAAAAUUGAUAUGAAAAAUAGAUAAGUAAUAUAGUUUCUUUUCUUCACUUUAUGUGUGAUAACUUGAUAAAUAUGUUGUCAAUACUAUUAAAAUAAGAAAAAAACGUAAUGAUUACAGUUUUUGCAUAAAUACUAUAUUGGGCUUUAUUAAAGUUUAUGAAAAUAGAAUGCAUGUAUAUGCAUUUUAU
Molecule: long non-coding RNA, 916 nt
Organism: Cyprinus carpio carpio
Lineage: Eukaryota; Metazoa; Chordata; Actinopteri; Cypriniformes; Cyprinidae
Source: Ensembl